CUAAGUCUCCAGGCAGAAGUCAGAGAAGCAGAGUGGAGCUCCCAGCACACCCCACGACUCCGUGGGCAGGAGCGACCAGAGGGGCUGGAAUGCUGGGGAGGCCAGGGCCUGCAGUUCUUCAAGGAAGAGGCAAGUGGGGGCCUAGUGAGUGGCAGGGCGGAGGGGGCGCAUGGCUCCCGCGUCAGGCAUAGAAUUCCUCC
RNAcentral lists this long non-coding RNA (200 nucleotides) under Homo sapiens (human). RNAcentral's name for it is "HSALNT0028388". Lineage: Eukaryota; Metazoa; Chordata; Mammalia; Primates; Hominidae. The record is from RNAcentral.